This 73-nucleotide transfer RNA is filed under the name Aureoumbra lagunensis. RNAcentral describes it as "tRNA-Glu". It matches the Rfam family "tRNA". Rfam says of the family: Transfer RNA (tRNA) molecules are approximately 80 nucleotides in length. The record is from RNAcentral. Lineage: Eukaryota; Pelagophyceae; Sarcinochrysidales; Sarcinochrysidaceae.
GUUCUUUUGGUCAAAAGGUUUACGACGUUUCAUUUUCGCUGAAAAAAUAUGGGUUCAAAUCCCUUAAGGAACA